AUUGAACGCUGGCGGAAUGCUUUACACAUGCAAGUCGAACGGUAGAGGGGGCAACCCCUCGAGAGUGGCGAACGGGUGAGUAAUAUAUCGGAACGUGCCCAGUCGUGGGGGAUAACGUAGCGAAAGCUACGCUAAUACCGCAUACGAUCUAUGGAUGAAAGCGGGGGAUCGCAAGACCUCGCGCGAUUGGAGCGGCCGAUAUCAGAUUAGGUAGUUGGUGGGGUAAAGGCUCACCAAGCCGACGAUCUGUAGCUGGUCUGAGAGGACGACCAGCCACACUGGGACUGAGACACGGCCCAGACUCCUACGGGAGGCAGCAGUGGGGAAUUUUGGACAAUGGGCGCAAGCCUGAUCCAGCAAUGCCGCGUGCAGGAUGAAGGCCUUCGGGUUGUAAACUGCUUUUGUACGGAACGAAACGGCGAGCUCUAAUACAGUUUGCUAAUGACGGUACCGUAAGAAUAAGCACCGGCUAACUACGUGCCAGCCGCCGCGGUAA
Molecule: ribosomal RNA, 496 nt
Filed under: uncultured bacterium
Lineage: Bacteria
Description: partial 16S ribosomal RNA
Rfam family: Bacterial small subunit ribosomal RNA
Source: RNAcentral